Molecule: ribosomal RNA, 282 nt
Filed under: uncultured prokaryote
Description: partial 16S ribosomal RNA
Rfam family: Bacterial small subunit ribosomal RNA
Source: RNAcentral
UACGGAGGGUGCAAGCGUUAAUCGGAAUUACUGGGCGUAAAGCGCGCGUAGGUGGUUUGGUAAGCGAGAUGUGAAAGCCCCGGGCUUAACCUGGGAACGGCAUUUCGAACUGCCAGACUAGAGUGUGGUAGAGGGUAGUGGAAUUUCCUGUGUAGCGGUGAAAUGCGUAGAUAUAGGAAGGAACACCAGUGGCGAAGGCGGCUACCUGGACCAACACUGACACUGAGGUGCGAAAGCGUGGGGAGCAAACAGGAUUAGAUACCCCGGUAGUCCCUGAGCGGG